RNAcentral lists this long non-coding RNA (664 nucleotides) under Helianthus annuus (common sunflower). Lineage: Eukaryota; Viridiplantae; Streptophyta; Magnoliopsida; Asterales; Asteraceae. The record is from RNAcentral.
UCCUAUCCAUCCCUGCCCUUAGAAACAAAUGAAGGGUCUCUCCAGUUUUGCAUUAAAGUCUCUUUUAUGUUUUCUUUUUGGAGCAGAUUAAGAGCAUGCAACCCUUCAAUGGAAUCUGAGAUGUCCAGAAAGGUGGCCGUAGGCCUUAUUUGGGGCGCUUCUUAACAAUAGAUUGAUUUUGUUGUGGAGAUGGCAGGUGGCGGCUUUAGGGGCGGCUGUGGAGAUGGCAGCGGCAGAGUCGAAAGGUUCGGCGGCAGCAGAGGCGGUGGCUGAAGAGGUAGAGGUCGCGAUGGAGGUAGCGGAGGGCAAGGUUUGCCGGCGAAGCGAAUAUGGUUCCUGGUGAAGGAUGUAUAACGAGAAGAGGAUCUUGGUGCAAGUACAGAGGAACCACCCACAUAUUCUACAAGACCCGAAUGUGCCAAAAGUUUCUUGAUUGAACCUGUCGUAACAGCGACGGCUGUACGUUCGCUCAUGGCCCAAACGAUUUGCGCGAACCGCCUCCGAACUGGCAAGAGCUUGUGAAGGAUAAUAGAGUUGGCGGACUCUGGCAAUGAGUUUAUUACAUCUGUUAUAAACGGAGCUGAUCUGGUCCCUACAUUUUCAGCUGCUUCAGUGGAUGAUUUAAAGUGGCGCACUGCACUUGAGAAGAGCUAUAGGUUCUCAA